CCUACGGGAGUCAGCAGUGGGGGAUAUUGCACAAUGGGGGAAACCCUGAUGCAGCGACGCCGCGUGGGUGAAGAAGCGCCUCGGCGCGUAAAGCCCUGUCAGCAGGGAAGAAAAUGACGGUACCUGAAGCAGAAGCCCCGGCUAACUACGUGCCAGCAGCCGCGGUAAUACGUAGGGGGCAAGCGUUAUCCGGAUUUACUGGGUGUAAGGGGGCGCAGGCGGCGAUGCAAGCCAGGAGGGAAAGCCCGGGGGCCAACCCCGGGACUGCUCUUUGAACUGCGUGGGUAGAGUGCAGGAGGGGCAGGCGGAAUUCCUGGUGUAGCGGUGAAAUGCGGAGAUAUCAGGAGGAACACCGGUGGCGAAGGCGGCCUGCUGGACUGCAACUGACGUUGAGGCCCGAAAGCGUGGGGAGCAAACAGGAUUAGAUACCCUGGUAGUC
RNAcentral lists this ribosomal RNA (439 nucleotides) under uncultured bacterium. RNAcentral describes it as "partial 16S ribosomal RNA". It matches the Rfam family "Bacterial small subunit ribosomal RNA", at positions 338 to 795 of the family's 1533-position model. The record is from RNAcentral.